Molecule: unclassified non-coding RNA, 330 nt
Filed under: soil metagenome
Description: partial contains 5.8S ribosomal RNA, internal transcribed spacer 2, and large subunit ribosomal RNA
Rfam family: 5.8S ribosomal RNA (bases 1-119)
Source: RNAcentral
GAUGAAGAACGUAGCGAAAUGCGAUAAGUAAUGUGAAUUGCAGAAUUCAGUGAAUCAUCGAAUCUUUGAACGCACAUUGCGCCCCCUGGUAUUCCGGGGUCAUGCCUGUUCGAGCGUCAUUUCACCACUCAAGCCUCGCUUGGUAUUGGGCAACGCGGUCCGCCGCGUGCCUCAAAUCGACCGGCUGGGUCUUCUGUCCCCUAAGCGUUGUGGAAACUAUUCGCUAAAGGGUGUUCGGGAGGCUACGCCGUAAAACAACCCCAUUUCUAAGGUUGACCUCGGAUCAGGUAGGGAUACCCGCUGAACUUAAGCAUAUCAAUAAGCGGAGGA